This 432-nucleotide ribosomal RNA is filed under the name uncultured bacterium. RNAcentral describes it as "bacterial SSU rRNA". It matches the Rfam family "Bacterial small subunit ribosomal RNA", at positions 29 to 506 of the family's 1533-position model. The record is from RNAcentral.
GUGAACGCUAGCGGCGCGCCUAACACAUGCAAGUUGAGUGCCUUUAAAAGCACAGCAAACGGCUGCGUAACACGUUGGAACCUGCCCCGAACUCAGGGAUAACCCGCCGAAAGGCGGGCUAAUACCGGAUAGUCCCGAAAGGGUAAAGAUUUAUCGGUUCGGGAGGGGCCUGCGGCCUAUCAGCUAGUUGGUGAGGUAAUGGCUCACCAAGGCAAUGACGGGUAACUGGUCUGAGAGGACGACCAGUCAGAAUGGAACUGCGACACGGUCCAUACUCCUACGGGAGGCAGCAGUGAGGAAUCUUCCGCAAUGGACGAAAGUCUGACGGAGCGACGCCGCGUGGUGGAUGAAGGCCUUAACUGGUCGUAAACACCUGUUCUGAGGGACGAAAUUUUUGACGGUACCUCAGGAGAAAGUAUCGGCAAACCCUGU